This 254-nucleotide ribosomal RNA is filed under the name uncultured bacterium. RNAcentral describes it as "partial 16S ribosomal RNA". It matches the Rfam family "Bacterial small subunit ribosomal RNA", at positions 524 to 776 of the family's 1533-position model. The record is from RNAcentral.
UACAGAGGUGGCAAGCGUUGUCCGGAUUCAUUGGGCGUAAAGAGCUCGUAGGCGGCUUAGCAAGUCGGGUGUGAAAACUCCAGGCUCAACCUGGAGCCGCCACUCGAUACUGCUAUGGCUUGAGUCCGGUAGGGGACCACGGAAUUCCUGGUGUAGCGGUGAAAUGCGCAGAUAUCAGGAGGAACACCGGUGGCGAAGGCGGUGGUCUGGGCCGGUACUGACGCUGAGGAGCGAAAGCGUGGGGAGCAAACAGG